Molecule: ribosomal RNA, 209 nt
Filed under: uncultured Ureaplasma sp.
Lineage: Bacteria; Bacillati; Mycoplasmatota; Mycoplasmoidales; Mycoplasmoidaceae
Description: partial 16S ribosomal RNA
Rfam family: Bacterial small subunit ribosomal RNA
Source: RNAcentral
UUAGCUAAUAACCGAAUAAUAACAUCAAUAUCGCAUGAGAAGAUGUAGAAAGUCGCUCUUUGUGGCGACGCUUUUGGAUGAGGGUGCGACGUAUCAGAUAGUUGGUGAGGUAAUGGCUCACCAAGUCAAUGACGCGUAGCUGUACUGAGAGGUAGAACAGCCACAAUGGGACUGAGACACGGCCCAUACUCCUACGGGAGGCAGCAGCC